Octopus sinensis (East Asian common octopus) is the source of this 1387-nucleotide long non-coding RNA. RefSeq lists it as uncharacterized. The record is from RefSeq and is a predicted model, not a curated record. The transcript is spliced from 2 exons. Lineage: Eukaryota; Metazoa; Mollusca; Cephalopoda; Octopoda; Octopodidae.
AUAGAUCUUUCAGAGACCACUAACUUUCAUAGCAAGAGAUAAAAGGUAUAAAACUAGAAUUUCUCAAUUAAUUCAAAGUUACUGUAUUUUCCAGCAUCCAAGUUGGAUUUUUCAUACAAAAAUUUACAGCCAAAACAAGUCAGUCAACUUAAUACAUCAAGAUGAAUUUGGAGAACCGAAAAUUCCAUGUGAAAUUCAGCAGGAUUUGGAAAGAUAGUGAAGAUGUUUACUCUUUUACUUGUUUCAGUCAUUUGACUGCGGCCAUGCUGGAGCACCGCCUUUAGUUGAGCAAAUCGACCCCAGGACUUAUUCUUUACAUAUGAUGAUGGAGUGCCAAGUAGGAAAAAAAUGAGCGUUUUUGACACUUGGCUUCUCUUCACUUUCAUUCAAGAUUCUAAAGCUACCAAAGUUGCUCAAGACAUUUGUGCUGUGUAUGGAGAAGAUGCUAUUACUGAAAGAACUGCACAGAAAUGGUUUACAUACUUCAUGGAGGGUAAUUCAAAUUCACAGACUUUUCACAUUCCUUCCAACCUGUUCAGUUCAAUGAGGAUUGAUUGAAUGAACUCAUCCAUGUAGAUCUGUGCCAAUCCACCUGAGAAUUGGCCCAGCAGGUGGAAUGCGUUCAUGAUAUCUUCAGCUGUCACUCUCACUUGAUGUGUAAAGUUCAAAUGUUUGCUGCAUGGGUUCCACAUAUUCUAAGUGAGAUAAACUCCAGCUUCUCUAUCACUGCCAAAUUGUUUGCUUAAUACUAGACAACUUGUGGACACAGAAAUUACUUCACUGCAUCACCAGUGAUGAAAAAUGAUGUCUUUAUGUCAAUAUGAUGUUGAAGAAAGAAAGGCUGAGGACUGACAAGCAACCAACAUCUUGAGCCAAAAUCAGAGCUGCAUUCACGUAAGGCAACAAUCUGUGUCUGGUGGGAUUAGGAAGGGAUAAUCUACUACAAAAUGCUUGAAGACAACCACAUGGUCAAUGCAGAGCUUUACAUUCAGCAAAUAGACUGGUUCAAUAAGGCAAUCCAGCUGAAACAACCCAACCAGUGACAACACUCACCUCACAUCAUUAUAUUGACCUCAAAAGCUCAAUUGGGAAGUUCUAUUGCACCCAACAUAUUCUCCUAAUGCUUUCACAUUCUCACCUUUUCUGGUACCUUUCCAUUGUUUGGAAGGCAUUUCAUUUGACAACGAUGUGGAGCUGAAACUGUUGCUCAGUGAAUUCUUUGAAUCAAGACUUAAUAAUUUACACUGUCUAGGCGUUGAAAAGCUAGUGGGGCAUUGCCAAGAAGUGAACAAUAAAGGAAAACAUAUCACUGGCUGAUUUGUCAAAAUUGUUGAUUAAAAACUUUUUUUAAAUAAAUUGAAAAAAUGAAAAUUUAUUUGACAAUCUA